This 354-nucleotide ribosomal RNA is filed under the name uncultured bacterium. RNAcentral's name for it is "bacterial SSU rRNA". It matches the Rfam family "Bacterial small subunit ribosomal RNA", at positions 379 to 732 of the family's 1533-position model. The record is from RNAcentral.
GAGGCUGAUCCAGCCAUGCCGCGUGCAGGAAGAAGGCCCUAUGGGUCGUAAACUGCUUUUAUACGGGAAGAAACCCACCUACGUGUAGUUGGCUGACGGUACCGUAAGAAUAAGGACCGGCUAACUCCGUGCCAGCAGCCGCGGUAAUACGGAGGGUCCGAGCGUUAUCCGGAAUUAUUGGGUUUAAAGGGUCCGUAGGCGGGCCGUUAAGUCAGGGGUGAAAUACUACGGCUCAACCGUGGAACUGCCUUUGAUACUGGUGGUCUUGAAUUAUGGUGAAGUUGCCGGAAUAUGUAGUGUAGCGGUGAAAUGCAUAGAUAUUACAUAGAACACCGAUUGCGAAGGCAGAGCAGA